CGAGAGCGACUUAAACCCGCGCCCCUGCUUCGGGUCUGGAGAGACAAUCCUGGACCGGCGCAACUGGCUGCUCCCUCCCUUUCUCGCCCUCCCCACCCUUUCUCGGUUAUCCGCGCGGCCGCUGGCACCUCUGGGAGCCGCACAGGCAAGCACUCUGCCAACUGAGACAGAGGGAAGAAAAGGAGACAGGAAGAGACUAUUGAUCCGAAAGUGGUGGAAGAGAGAAUGCGCGGAGCCCGGGAGUGGUGCUGGAGCUGGGCAGAUAGAAGGGGUGGGACUGAAGCCCUCCAGCUCGGGGGGAGGGGCGUUAUUUGUGUGCCCCGCGUCUUGAGCAGUCUGGGUUAUGCCUGGGAGAUGUUGAGCUGAAAGGGGGUGCGGUAACACCCAAGGAUUGUCCUCCACCCGCUCCGCGCGGUGACUGGGUACUGACAUAUGCCCCGCCCGGGAGCGCACAGUCCCAGGUUUGCAGAAUGAAAGUCAAUAAAAUCAAUACAGUGGCAAAGAACACGAAACAUGUUGGGUUGUUGUUAUUAUUAUUACUUGUGUUUAUUAAACUCUUUUUUUUUAACUUCCUUCUUAGAAAAUGUGGCUUCAGCUUUGAUCCUGGCCUCAAAUUAUCUUCUGGUUACCCCGCAGGAGACUAAGAAGCUUGCUCUCAGUCCCAAUCCAAUCCGAGCAGACUUCCCCAGGAGGCCUAGAGGGAGUGAAGCCCCAGGGUGUUCUCAGCUUCCCAUCAUCUGCCCUUUAGGGAGAUUGACCCCCUCCAUUUAUAGGUUCCUGGUUUACCACUCCCAUGCCCCCCCCCGGGGGCGUCUCCUCCCAGCCCCCCUCGUGCGCUCUCCGGGUCGCUUUAAAUAAUGAUAUUUGCAUGCAAGGAACGAUUCAUAAAUAUGUCAGUGCCGGUGAAAUAUAGGCAACAUUUCAAACUUUCUAUUUAAAAAACAUGAAUUAUGGCCAUAGAAAAUGUGUUCCCAUUUAAAGGCGAUACGAAGUAUUUGGUGUCUCGUUCCCGGGCCCAUCCAUCAUGCAGACAAUAAAGAGAGUUUUUCGCCCUGACA
This is a long non-coding RNA of Phodopus roborovskii (desert hamster), 1058 nucleotides long. RefSeq lists it as uncharacterized. The record is from RefSeq and is a predicted model, not a curated record. NCBI's taxonomy places the organism in Eukaryota, Metazoa, Chordata, Mammalia, Rodentia, Cricetidae. The transcript is spliced from 2 exons.